Molecule: long non-coding RNA, 1586 nt
Organism: Belonocnema kinseyi
Lineage: Eukaryota; Metazoa; Arthropoda; Insecta; Hymenoptera; Cynipidae
Exons: 4
Source: RefSeq, a predicted model, not a curated record
ACUUAAAUCUAAUGAGAAUCAGAGAUGAGAAUGCCGAUGCGACGCACGCGCAAUAUACAUAUACAGUUGGGAAGCCGAGUUAGAAGCACUGUUCACGCUUGUUUUGCCCAGAAUGACAUGCAAAGUUAACUUCAACAGCAUCAUAUUCUUGUUUAUUUAAAGUUGCCACGUAUUAUACAAUUAUUAAUUCAUUGUCAUGGAGCGAAUAAAGACAGAUUUAACAAAAGUUCAAAAAAGUAUUAAAAUGUCAAGCAGUGGGAGGUCAAUAAAAACUACGAAGAAUCUGCUUAUAUUAUGAUUAUGAUACAGCCAUUAAAUUGAAAAACUUGAUAUUCAAAAUCAACAAAUACUUAAUGAAAUAUCAAUUUUAAACGUUGAAGAAAAAAAGCAGUAGAAAAUCGACCAUAUGAACCUGUGACAGGAUGCCCCUUGCGUACAAUAGAAGAGUUUGAAGCUUUCAAAAAAAAAUAAAGCUAUGCUUAAGAAACUCUACCAUCAUGUACUGCUUUUGGGAGGUGUAAAGCCUCGUGAUUUUCUGAGUUACGCAUUAAAAGAAGUGAUUACUGAUGAGCUUGUGUGUAAAUUCAAGUGCUUUGAGUCAGAUGAUACUUAUCAUUUGGGCGAUACUAAGCUUUCAAAUGUUUGAUACAUGGUGGCAAGUGAUUGUCCGUCUUUUCGAGGACCUUGCACUAAACAAUAGUAUAAAAAUCAGAUGCUUGAAGUUUUGCAAGUGACUAAAAAAAGGUUUCGAAACUCGAAGAAAAAGUUCCUGGAUAAAAGUCAGACGGAAGCCUCAGCCGAGGACAUUAAAAAAAUAUAGCAGAACUACAAAAAAAACUUCGGGCAGAUGAAAUUGAUGGUGUAGAUGACGAAGAAACGCAAUCAGAAGUAGGAGAUGGCGACGACGAGCGGGAGAACGACGAGGAUGAAAAUUAAGUAGAUAUUUAUGUGAUUUAAAGUUUUAUGGUGCCUUAUUACUAGCAAGGAUAAAAUCUAAGUCAAUAUUUAUAUUUUUCUUUUUUGUAUGAACUACCAAUGAACAUGAUCUGCACGCCUGUUUUUUGAGCUGUUGCUAAAGUUCAUUCAUUUUUAUUAUAUUACCAUGAUAUUUUAUUUCUUUAUAAUAGGUCAAAAGGUGGUAAAAUGAUGCGUCUAAACAAGCCCAAGUUGAAGGCAAAAUAAUAGUUUAAUAAAAUGAUAUUUCAACGAAACAUUAAAUUGCGAUUUUUUAGACAAUUUGGAAUAACUCAACAAAAUCUCUAAAAUAUGUUAACAAUUCAGCAAAAUACUAUGGUCAUAUAUAUUGAAAUAUCCAUUGGAUUGAAAAACUGGAUAGUCUGAGUGAAUUACAAAAAUAUUUUUCUUUUCCCAGAAAAAAUACGACUAUUCCUAAUUAGCCAAAGAACUUUGAAACAUAUGCUAAUUAUUCCCAAAUUUAUUUGACGGUAUUUUAGAAUAUCUUUUUAUUGAAUUAACAAUUUGCCUUCAACUUCAACUUCUUGGACGCCAGAAGUUUAUUGCCAUUCGUGCUGUUAUAAGACAAUAAUUUAUGUUAAUGUUAUAAUAAUUAAGGGUCUUUAGCACGA